Molecule: transfer RNA, 38 nt
Filed under: Erica thunbergii
Lineage: Eukaryota; Viridiplantae; Streptophyta; Magnoliopsida; Ericales; Ericaceae
Description: partial tRNA-Phe
Source: RNAcentral
UAUGCCAUCUCGUGUCACCAGUUCAAAUCUGGUUCCUG